This is an RNA transcript of Notolabrus celidotus (New Zealand spotty), 2248 nucleotides long. It is a transcript of the gene named protein NipSnap homolog 2-like, with no coding region annotated. The record is from RefSeq and is a predicted model, not a curated record. The transcript has 10 exons. NCBI's taxonomy places the organism in Eukaryota, Metazoa, Chordata, Actinopteri, Labriformes, Labridae.
AGCUCCAUGGGGAACGAGUUGGACUGCCGCAGCCCGCAACUUCUCACACCCUCCAACUGACAGCAGGCUCAGGGGAAAGAUGGCGGCUCGAGUCCUUCAGAGAGCUGGAACAGGCCUGAAACUAAGGAAACACGGGCUGCAGGGGCAUGGACAAGUCUCUGUGGUAGUAAGGAGCCUCUCAGCUUUCCGGGAAGACAGCUGGUUCAAAUCUCUCUUUGUCCGAAAGGUUGACCCCCGAAAAGAUGCUCACUCUCACCUCCUCGCCAAGAAGGAAGACAAUAAUCUCUACAAAAUACAGUUUCACAAUGUCAAGCCUGAGUGCCUCGAUGAUUAUAAUGAACUCUGUGAGGACGUCUUGCCUUCCAUUCACGCUGACCCUGAAUACCCCUGUGAGCUUGUGGGUACCUGGAACACGUGGUACGGAGAACAGGAUCAGGCAGUUCACCUGUGGAGAUAUCGGGGAGGAUACCCAGCUCUCACUGAAGUCAUGAACAAACUCAGGAGUAAUAAGAAGUUUCUGGACUACAGGAACGAGAGGGGGAAGAUGCUGCUUUCUCGCAGGAACCAGCUGCUGCUGGAGUUCAGUUUCUGGGGUGAACCCGGCCCUCGUGAAGGACCCAACAUCUACGAGCUCCGAUCAUACCAGCUAAGGCCUGGGACGAUGAUCGAGUGGGGAAAUUACUGGGCACGUGCGAUUGAGAUCCGUCAGCAGAACCAGGAGGCAGUGGGCGGCUUUUUCUCACAGAUUGGAAGUCUGUACACCGUUCACCAUUUAUGGGGUAUGCAGUGUUUCCAGGUCAAGUGAGCUUACAAAGAUCUCCAGUCCAGAGAAAACAUCAGAAAUGCAGCGUGGGCGCGUGAAGGCUGGGACGAGGUUGUUUAUUAUACUGUCCCUCUCAUUCAGCACAUGGAAUCCAGAGUAAUGAUCCCCAUGAAGACUUCACCCUUGAAGUAACCCCAAACAACCAGCAGGGGGAGCUGCUCAGUAACCACUGCACCUCAUCACACUGAUCUGUAGAGAGUGUAACCAGCUGGAGUGCGCACUGCCUGGGAUAUCUGCAUCACGGCGACAUGUUGAAGUUGUUUUUCUUUCAUUUGUUAGUUUCUUACUUCUGUUUUCUGUGUGGGCUUAAAACGUCUUAUUUCAGCAGGUUGUAGCAACCACUGUGUUACUGAUCCAUGAACACAUCUAAUGUAGACAAAUCUAACUCUACAUGCUCGUUCUUUUGGCUGUCUAUCAUUUUAAAGGUUGGAUUUAAAAACUGGUAUUUUUUUAUCUUUAUGAUAUAGAACUGUCAACAGUGUUUGUUGAGAUACAAGGAAAAGAUGUGAGUUUAAAGGUUAACAUUUAUAGUGCUGAUCACAUGGUCCAAACAUGUCUCACUGUCUUUUCAUAAAGUGUUACAAAAGAAAAUCUAACACGACACAAAGCCCUUCUUGCACUAGCACUUAUAACAGGUUUUAAAGCAGCAUCUGUGUCCAGUAUCUUGUAGCGAACAGUCUCCUGAGCAGUUCAUCAAUGUGAGCUUUAUGAAUGUUAAAUGUAAAGGGGUGUUGGUCAGUUUUCAAAGAGGAGGAAGUUGUUUACAAAUCAGUGUUGUCAACUUAGUCAAAAGUACACCAUUUAUACACUCCUCCAGAAAAAAGUUACUGAAUGUUUACAUGGUUUUAAUCCAGUCCACUGAUUCUGCUGAGUAAUAUGUGUCAGAAUCAGCUGUGUGGAUGAAAGUAGUCUUAAUGACAUUAUCAUGAGGACGCACAAAAAGCAAGAAUUGACCGAGAACUGUCUUUCUAUCCCAUUUUGUUUCUCCUUUGUUAAACUGACCACGCCUCCAGAUUUGUCUCUGUCACACUUCAGUCUGUCCCCGGUGUGGGUUUGGGGUAACGUGUAAAAGGAAAUAUUAGAAGCUACUUUUAAUUUCAGCACAAUGAAUCAGUAGAAUGCUGUACACAGACUUGUUCUGACAUCCCUGUAUCGAGCAAAUCAUGCCAGCCGAUGAUUGUGUGCGUUAACUGAGAUUAAUGGGUUUUUAAUGGUCAGAUUGUAGAUAUUACAAGUACGCUUACUGACCCAGCCUUGGAGGUGGCGGUCAGUCCUGUAUCUGUAAAUGAAGUGUGGUAUCCUAACCUGCAUUAAUCAACACAUUAGCAGGAGAUGAUUAAUAUCACAAUGUCGUAAAUGCAAAUUGCAGUGCUUUAAUACAUUAGUUGUACAUAUUGAAUUAAACUUCUGAUGCAAAUGGUUAAA